Molecule: ribosomal RNA, 301 nt
Filed under: uncultured bacterium
Lineage: Bacteria
Description: partial 16S ribosomal RNA
Rfam family: Bacterial small subunit ribosomal RNA
Source: RNAcentral
CAGCCGCCACGGUAAAACGGAGGGGGCUAGCGUUGUUCGGAAUUACUGGGCGUAAAGCGCACGUAGGCGGCUUGGUAAGUUAGAGGUGAAAGCCUGGAGCUCAACUCCAGAAUUGCCUUUAAGACUGCCGAGCUAGCAGGUGAGAGAGGUAAGUGGAAUUCCGAGUGUAGAGGUGAAAUUCGUAGAUAUUCGGAAGAACACCAGUGGCGAAGGCGGCCUACUGGCUCAUACUGGACGCUGAGGUGCGAAAGCGUGGGGAGCAAACAGGAUUAGAUACCCCGGUAGUCCCUGUCUCUUAUAA